GUGCACGGUCAUAGCGAUGGUGUUUACCCGGUCCCAUCCCGAACCCGGAAGUCAAGCCCAUCUGCGUCAUUACCGGUACUGUGGUGCGAGAGCCCACGGGAAUGUUUGUCACUGUGCCCC
Molecule: ribosomal RNA, 120 nt
Filed under: Methanobacteriota archaeon
Lineage: Archaea; Methanobacteriati; Methanobacteriota
Source: RNAcentral